This 1906-nucleotide ribosomal RNA is filed under the name Campylobacter coli. RNAcentral's name for it is "partial 23S ribosomal RNA". It matches the Rfam family "Bacterial large subunit ribosomal RNA", at positions 467 to 2355 of the family's 2925-position model. The record is from RNAcentral. Lineage: Bacteria; Pseudomonadati; Campylobacterota; Epsilonproteobacteria; Campylobacterales; Campylobacteraceae.
UAAAUACUAAUACCAGAUCGAUAGUGCACAAGUACCGUGAGGGAAAGGUGAAAAGAACUGAGGUGAUCAGAGUGAAAUAGAACCUGAAACCAUUUGCUUACAAUCAUUCAGAGCCCUAUGUAGCAAUACAGGGUGAUGGACUGCCUUUUGCAUAAUGAGCCUGCGAGUUGUGGUGUCUGGCAAGGUUAAGCAAACGCGAAGCCGUAGCGAAAGCGAGUCUGAAUAGGGCGCUUAGUCAGAUGCUGCAGACCCGAAACGAAGUGAUCUAUCCAUGAGCAAGUUGAAGCUAGUGUAAGAACUAGUGGAGGACUGAACCCAUAGGCGUUGAAAAGCCCCGGGAUGACUUGUGGAUAGGGGUGAAAGGCCAAUCAAACUUCGUGAUAGCUGGUUCUCUCCGAAAUAUAUUUAGGUAUAGCGUUGUGUCGUAAUAUAAGGGGGUAGAGCACUGAAUGGGCUAGGGCAUACACCAAUGUACCAAACCCUAUCAAACUCCGAAUACCUUAUAUGUAAUCACAGCAGUCAGGCGGCGAGUGAUAAAAUCCGUCGUCAAGAGGGAAACAACCCAGACUACCAGCUAAGGUCCCUAAAUCUUACUUAAGUGGAAAACGAUGUGAAGUUACUUAAACAACCAGGAGGUUGGCUUAGAAGCAGCCAUCCUUUAAAGAAAGCGUAAUAGCUCACUGGUCUAGUGAUUUUGCGCGGAAAAUAUAACGGGGCUAAAGUAAGUACCGAAGCUGUAGACUUAGUUUACUAAGUGGUAGGAGAGCGUUCUAUUUGCGUCGAAGGUAUACCGGUAAGGAGUGCUGGAGCGAAUAGAAGUGAGCAUGCAGGCAUGAGUAGCGAUAAUUAAUGUGAGAAUCAUUAACGCCGUAAACCCAAGGUUUCCUACGCGAUGCUCGUCAUCGUAGGGUUAGUCGGGUCCUAAGUCGAGUCCGAAAGGGGUAGACGAUGGCAAAUUGGUUAAUAUUCCAAUACCAACAUUAGUGUGCGAUGGAAGGACGCUUAGGGCUAAGGGGGCUAGCGGAUGGAAGUGCUAGUCUAAGGUCGUAGGAGGUUAUACAGGCAAAUCCGUAUAACAAUACUCCGAGAACUGAAAGGCUUUUUGAAGUCUUCGGAUGGAUAGAAGAACCCCUGAUGCCGUCGAGCCAAGAAAAGUUUCUAAGUUUAGCUAAUGUUGCCCGUACCGUAAACCGACACAGGUGGGUGGGAUGAGUAUUCUAAGGCGCGUGGAAGAACUCUCUUUAAGGAACUCUGCAAAAUAGCACCGUAUCUUCGGUAUAAGGUGUGGUUAGCUUUGUAUUAGGAUUUACUCCGAAAGCAAGGAAACUUACAACAAAGAGUCCCUCCCGACUGUUUACCAAAAACACAGCACUCUGCUAACUCGUAAGAGGAUGUAUAGGGUGUGACGCCUGCCCGGUGCUCGAAGGUUAAUUGAUGGGGUUAGCAUUAGCGAAGCUCUUGAUCGAAGCCCGAGUAAACGGCGGCCGUAACUAUAACGGUCCUAAGGUAGCGAAAUUCCUUGUCGGUUAAAUACCGACCUGCAUGAAUGGCGUAACGAGAUGGGAGCUGUCUCAAAGAGGGAUCCAGUGAAAUUGUAGUGGAGGUGAAAAUUCCUCCUACCCGCGGCAAGACGGAGAGACCCCGUGGACCUUUACUAUAGCUUGACACUGCUAUUUGGAUAAAGAUGUGCAGGAUAGGUGGGAGGCUUUGAGUAUAUGACGCCAGUUGUAUAUGAGCCAUUGUUGAGAUACCACUCUUUCUUAUUUGGGUAGCUAACCAGCUUGAGUUAUCCUCAAGUGGGACAAUGUCUGGUGGGUAGUUUGACUGGGGCGGUCGCCUCCCAAAUAAUAACGGAGGCUUACAAAGGUUGGCUCAGAACGGUUGGAAAUCGUUCGUAGAGUAUAAA